UUGAACGCUGGCGGCAGGCCUAACACAUGCAAGUCGAACGGUAACAGGAAGAAGCUUGCUUCUUUGCUGACGAGUGGCGGACGGGUGAGUAAUGUCUGGGAAACUGCCUGAUGGAGGGGGAUAACUACUGGAAACGGUAGCUAAUACCGCAUAACGUCGCAAGACCAAAGAGGGGGACCUUCGGGCCUCUUGCCAUCGGAUGUGCCCAGAUGGGAUUAGCUAGUAGGUGGGGUAAAGGCUCACCUAGGCGACGAUCCCUAGCUGGUCUGAGAGGAUGACCAGCCACACUGGAACUGAGACACGGUCCAGACUCCUACGGGAGGCAGCAGUGGGGAAUAUUGCACAAUGGGCGCAAGCCUGAUGCAGCCAUGCCGCGUGUAUGAAGAAGGCCUUCGGGUUGUAAAGUACUUUCAGCGGGGAGGAAGGGAGUAAAGUUAAUACCUUUGCUCAUUGACGUUACCCGCAGAAGAAGCACCGGCUAACUCCGUG
This 489-nucleotide ribosomal RNA is filed under the name uncultured bacterium. RNAcentral describes it as "partial 16S ribosomal RNA". It matches the Rfam family "Bacterial small subunit ribosomal RNA", at positions 30 to 507 of the family's 1533-position model. The record is from RNAcentral.